GGGGAUUUAGCUCAGUGGUAGAGCGCUUGCCUAGCAAGCGCCAGGCCCUGGGUUCGGUCCCCAGUUCCA
RNAcentral lists this transfer RNA (69 nucleotides) under Rattus norvegicus (Norway rat). It matches the Rfam family "tRNA". Rfam says of the family: Transfer RNA (tRNA) molecules are approximately 80 nucleotides in length. Their secondary structure includes four short double-helical elements and three loops (D, anti-codon, and T loops). Lineage: Eukaryota; Metazoa; Chordata; Mammalia; Rodentia; Muridae. The record is from Rfam by way of RNAcentral.